RNAcentral lists this ribosomal RNA (327 nucleotides) under uncultured Sphingomonas sp. Its description in RNAcentral is "bacterial SSU rRNA". It matches the Rfam family "Bacterial small subunit ribosomal RNA", at positions 1 to 354 of the family's 1533-position model. Lineage: Bacteria; Pseudomonadati; Pseudomonadota; Alphaproteobacteria; Sphingomonadales; Sphingomonadaceae. The record is from RNAcentral.
UUCGCCCUUAGAGUUUGAUCCUGGCUCAGAACGAACGCUGGCGGCAUGCCUAACACAUGCAAGUCGAACGAAGGCUUCGGCCUUAGUGGCGCACGGGUGCGUAACGCGUGGGAAUCUGCCCUUAGGUUCGGAAUAACAGCUGGAAACGGCUGCUAAUACCGGAUGAUAUCGCGAGAUCAAAGAUUUAUCGCCUGAGGAUGAGCCCGCGUUGGAUUAGGUAGUUGGUGGGGUAAAGGCCUACCAAGCCGACGAUCCAUAGCUGGUCUGAGAGGAUGAUCAGCCACACUGGGACUGAGACACGGCCCAGACUCCUACGGGAGGCAGCAG